GAUCCUGGCGUCAGGACGAACGCUGGCGGCGCGCCUAACACAUGCAAGUCGAACGAGCGAGAGAGAGCUUGCUUUCUCAAGCGAGUGGCGAACGGGUGAGUAACGCGUGAGGAACCUGCCUCAAAGAGGGGGACAACAGUUGGAAACGACUGCUAAUACCGCAUAAGCCCACGACCCGGCAUCGGGUAGAGGGAAAAGGAGCAAUCCGCUUUGAGAUGGCCUCGCACUCCGUAUUAGCUUAGGUUGGG
Molecule: ribosomal RNA, 248 nt
Filed under: uncultured bacterium
Lineage: Bacteria
Description: partial 16S ribosomal RNA
Rfam family: Bacterial small subunit ribosomal RNA
Source: RNAcentral